RNAcentral lists this ribosomal RNA (252 nucleotides) under uncultured bacterium. RNAcentral describes it as "partial 16S ribosomal RNA". It matches the Rfam family "Bacterial small subunit ribosomal RNA", at positions 524 to 776 of the family's 1533-position model. The record is from RNAcentral.
UACGUAGGGGGCUAGCGUUAUCCGGAAUUACUGGGCGUAAAGGGUGCGUAGGUGGUUUCUUAAGUCAGAGGUGAAAGGCUACGGCUCAACCGUAGUAAGCCUUUGAAACUGGGGAACUUGAGUGCAGGAGAGGAGAGUGGAAUUCCUAGUGUAGCGGUGAAAUGCGUAGAUAUUAGGAGGAACACCAGUUGCAAAGGCGGCUCUCUGGACUGUAACUGACACUGAGGCACGAAAGCGUGGGGAGCAAACAGG